This 337-nucleotide unclassified non-coding RNA is filed under the name soil metagenome. Its description in RNAcentral is "partial contains 5.8S ribosomal RNA, internal transcribed spacer 2, and large subunit ribosomal RNA". The stretch from base 1 to 120 matches the Rfam family "5.8S ribosomal RNA", at positions 35 to 154 of the family's 154-position model. The record is from RNAcentral.
GAUGAAGAACGUAGCGAAAUGCGAUAAGUAGUGUGAAUUGCAGAAUUCAGUGAAUCAUCGAAUCUUUGAACGCACAUUGCGCCCCUUGGUAUUCCAUGGGGCAUGCCUGUUCGAGCGUCAUUUGUACCUUCAAGCCUUGCUUGGUGUUGGGUGUUCGUCUCGCCUCUGCGCGCAGACUCGCCUCAAAACAAUUGGCAGCCGGCGUAUUGAUUUCGGAGCGCAGUACAUCUCGCGCUUUGCACUCAGAACGACGACGUCCAAAAGUACAUUUUUACACUCUUGACCUCGGAUCAGGUAGGGAUACCCGCUGAACUUAAGCAUAUCAAUAAGCGGAGGA